Molecule: long non-coding RNA, 2325 nt
Organism: Egretta garzetta (little egret)
Lineage: Eukaryota; Metazoa; Chordata; Aves; Pelecaniformes; Ardeidae
Exons: 2
Source: RefSeq, a predicted model, not a curated record
GGGGGGGCGGGCCCGUGGCUCGUUGUUCCAGACAGCGGGCGACUAAAAGUCAGGCUUCGGGUGACCUGUUCUGGCCAUCUCCCCCGACUUCUGUAACCAAAAAGCCGUAAUCUAAGUAUUAAAAAAAAUGAAACAAUUCCUGACGGGCCUAACCCCGCGCGCUUCCUCACAAAGCGCCGAGUUUUUUAUUACGGCCCCCGAGAGCCCUGGGCGCCUGCUGAGCCUCUGCCCGUCGGGCUGUGCGCUCCUGCAGCUGCAAACUGUGCUGCUGCCCACACGUUACCGAUUUUAGAGACGCUUGCUGGGGUCCACGGGGAAACAACAGGCUGUAUGCCCACCUAGCAGCUGCAUGCUGGAAGCGCAAUGGGAUGAUGCCAGUGACGUGCACUUCCACCCUCUUGAUGAUGCAGAGCUGCUCUUGCAGAUACUGGAGCUUUCCUUCACAAGAAAAAACCAAGUUGGUGUAACUCGGACUUGAUUUUAUGAGCAGGAGCGCGUGUUCGCACCUUAGCUGUCAGCUCCCACGCUUCCCUGUCUUGGCUUCGGUAAUUAAUUGCAGAGAGGUCAAACAGGUGGGCAAAGCAUACGCGAGAGUAAGCUGCUGCCGGUUUAGAUCAGCAGGUAAGCUGAUGUCUACUGCAGAGGAGCUCUGAACGUUUAGUGCUUACCAUCAUCCAGCAGCUUCCCCAGGAAAAAACGCAGGUUUGGUCUCGUUUGUUAAAAGUGAAAAAAAGCCGCUGCCUGCCCCUCCAGCUGGAGGGGCCACAUCUAGAACUGCUGUGAGGAAAUGUGGGAGAACGAGGCACGCCUUUAUGAAUGCAGUAGAAUUAGAUGAAAAUUUGUUUUGCUUCUAUAUAGAGCAAAAAACCUGGGAAAAUGUCUUUUUUUUUUCUUUUGCAUAUUUACAUUGUAAGCAGCAGUACAGAUGCUCCUCUAACUCAUGGGUUAUACUUGCAUCUUUAUUGGGACCAAUCAUCCUUAAAAGGUUGGAUGUCGUGAGGUUAAACUGAAAAUCAACAGUUACUAUCUCGGUUUCUUGCAGAUUGUUGCUAGGCGAGUACAUGGAGCUGCUGUUGGCCUCUGUACCCCUCCCACCCCCCUAUCUGAUGCAGAAUUUCAACAUCAGUUGUAGCAAAACUUUAUUGGUAACUGGAAGUUACAUCCCAUAUCUACAUCCCAUACAUCCCAGAAAUAAAUUCUUGAGGGAUCCGGUUUGGACAGACCGUUCCUUUCAUCGUGUAAGACAGUGCUGCAUUCACAGGAUAGAUGAAAGAGAAUUACACAUUUUCAGAAGGCGUACGAUGCCCUCUAGCAUUUCUGUAACCAUGGUAACAUAUAUAGAUAGCAGGCCCGAGUUCAACCCACGUUUUACUGUUCCAGCAGUAAAGAAUUGGAUUCUAUAAACACCAACCUAGCUCCUAGAAUAAAAUACUGGCCUUUGACUUCCCGAUUAAAAAAAUGCUGGUUAUAUAGUGCUACAGCUUAACAAACAUCCAGUAUAAAGUCCUAAGAUCAGCUCUGUAAUAAAACUAUGCAGGAUGUCUUGCCUCACCAGCCCCACAGCCACAAUGAAGAAGGGGAGAAGCUAAGAUUUUAAUGAAUGCAAAAUAAAUACGAAUGCGUUCAACAAAACUUAAGCUUGAAAUUUAAAAAAAAAAAAAAAAAAGCACCCCCAUCAAAUUUUCACGUGUUUUAUUUAGGUGAACAUACACAUGGUCCACAUACUCAAUGAAAAUAGUCAUAAAAUAAUUUAAGAACUUAUGUUGAAAGGUAUUAGCAGCACCAUCAGUAUUGGAAUAGCAGAAAAUUCAUGCCUCCGUAGGGCAUACAUUUAUGCCUGGAUAAAAAUGCCAUCAUUUGUAACGGGAUGGGAAUGGCUUUAUAGGAUGCUUUUGAGAGUCGGAGUUUUAAAACACACACUUUGUUGCUAAAUACUUUGACAAUCAAUGUUACAAAAAAAUACAACUAAAUAAGAUACUGCAUAGUAUUUUAAUUAACAUAAAGAAAUCGACAUUGAGCUGUGUAAAGCAAGACUCAACAUCUCUGCUUCCACGUACAUUUCAUUUCUGAGUAGAGAAAUCUAAAAUUUAAAAACAAAAUAUAGACCUAGUGUAUUCUCUAAAAGACACACUUUAGGUGGAACAUAUAGUACUACGAAAAUACAUAUCUUCCAUUCUGUUUAAUAAUUUACUUUAGUUAAAAAGUUGUGAAAUUCUCAUCACAAGAAGCGUAUACAAAUUCAUGACUUUAGUAAAUUAACAAAAAGGAUUAUUUUUUUUUUUUUUAAACAAGGUUUAGCCCCGCUGUAACAAUUAUACAAGGAAG